GAUCCUGCCAGUAGUGUAUGCUUCUCCUAAAGACUAAGCCAUGCAUGCCUUCGAAUAGAAGACGCAAUCUCUCUGAAUCUGCGAACGGCUCCGCAUACCAGUUGUAAACCAUAGCAAGCCAACCUUGGGAAGACCCGAUCAAAAGGGAUGACCCUUGGUUGAAUAAGGAUACCCAUGGUAAUUCUGAGGCUAAUACAAGUAUAUAACGACUUGGUCAACCGGGAAACUGGAAGGCUGGGGGUCGUGUGAAGCUUAACUGCAACACCGACCUAGGAAACGAUGCACAAUCAGACCACCACACAAACGGUCUCGUUCUGAGGCAAGUACCUUCGGGGAAAGCCAAAGGGCUUGACUGGGUGGCUCUUGCUUUGUGCUUCUGACCUAUCAACUCGAUGGCAGCGUAAGGGACAUGCUAUGGUUACAACGGGUACAGAGGAUAAGGGUUCGAUCCUGGAGAGUGGGCCUGAGAGAUUGCUCACACUUCUAAGGAAGGCAGCAGGCGCGCAACGUUCCCAAUGGGUAACACCUGAGGGCGUUAGGGGACAUAUGAAUGCCUGCCAUUAGGUGGGCAAUUCAAAUGGGACUGAUGCAAACAGCCCAUCGAGUAACAAUUAGAGGACAAGUCUGGUGCCAGCACCCGCGGUAAUUCCAGCUCUAAUAGCAUACGUUAAAGUUGUUGCGGUUAAAACGCUCGUAGUCGGCACCAGACCUUCAGAAACCUUCCAUUGCGAUGUGGGUCAGCUGCUCUGUUUCAACAAAACGGGCGCGCCACUGAGCUCUGAGGGCAGACGUCGGUCAAUCGUACUUUUGGUCACCUGGGUUACUUCGGUUUCCCGGUUAAAAGGCUAUCCGUAUCUGCGCUCUGGCGCGGGUACGGGUGGUUGGCUGACUGUACCGUUUACUAUGACCAAACUGGAGUGCUCAAAGCCGGUCACUUUGAUCACUACAGCGCAGCAUAGUAUAACGAUACCCAGGACAGUACGUUGCAGGUACUGGACUGGGUAAAAGAUUAAGGGAUGUUCGAGGGUGACCGAAUUACUGGGCGAGUGGUGAAAUACGUUGACCCUAGUAAGUCGACCAAAGGCGAAAGCAGUCAUCAAGGGCAUACCCGAUGAUCAAGAGCGAAAGUUAAGGGUUCGAAGACGAUCAGAUACCGUCGUAGUCUUAACUAUAAACGAUACAAACCAGGGAUAGGACACUGUCCAUCUCGACUCCUCCCGGACCUCGGAGAAAUCAAAGUCUUUGGGUUCUGGGGGGAGUAUGGUCGCAAGGCUGAAACUUAAAGGAAUUGACGGAAGGGCACACAAAGAGUGGAACCUGCGGCUUAAUUUGACUCAACACGGGAAAACUCACCGGGUCCGGAUACACGUAUGAAAGACAAGCUGAUAGACUUUUCUCAAUAAUGUAAGUGGUGGUGCAUGGCCGUUCUUAGUUCGUGGAGUGGUUUGUCUGGUCUAUUCCGAUAACGAGCGAGACCUCAACGAUCUAACUAGGGGAUUCAGCCCGGUUUCGAACCCGAAAGGGAUCGCUGCUAGCUGGAUCUUCGUAAAAGCAUAGCUUCAUAGACGGAUUAGGGUCGAUAAGAUCCUUGAAAUGGGUUAAUAACAGGUCAGUCAUGCCCUUAGAUGUUCUGGGCCGCACGCGCGUUACAAUGGCAUGUAAAGCGAGUGCUCACUGGUGAGCUUACCGUCGUCGAGAGGCACCGGCAAUCCAUAAUCCCUGCCUUGACUGGGAUAGAUCAUUGCAAUUAUUGGUCUUAAACGAGGAAUUUUUAGUAAUAGCCAGGUCAUUAUCCUGCGCUGAAUGCGUCCCUGCCCUUUGUACACACCGCCCGUCGCUGCUACCGAUUGGACCUCAGAGUUACGAGUUCAGAGAUCGAGCAAGGCCUCCGACGCAAGUUGGCUGGCUAAGCCCGAUCAAAGUCCUAAUUACUCUGAGGUCUAGAGGAAGCAGAAGUC
RNAcentral lists this ribosomal RNA (1958 nucleotides) under Physarum leucophaeum. RNAcentral describes it as "SSU rRNA". It matches the Rfam family "Eukaryotic small subunit ribosomal RNA". The record is from RNAcentral. Lineage: Eukaryota; Evosea; Eumycetozoa; Physariida; Physaraceae.